AGCGAACGCUGGCGGCAGGCUUAACACAUGCAAGUCGAGCGGGCGUAGCAAUACGUCAGCGGCAGACGGGUGAGUAACGCGUGGGAACGUACCUUUUGGUUCGGAACAACACAGGGAAACUUGUGCUAAUACCGGAUAAGCCCUUACGGGGAAAGAUUUAUCGCCGAAAGAUCGGCCCGCGUCUGAUUAGCUAGUUGGUGAGGUAAUGGCUCACCAAGGCGACGAUCAGUAGCUGGUCUGAGAGGAUGAUCAGCCACAUUGGGACUGAGACACGGCCCAAACUCCUACGGGAGGCAGCAGUGGGGAAUAUUGGACAAUGGGGGCAACCCUGAUCCAGCCAUGCCGCGUGAGUGAUGAAGGCCCUAGGGUUGUAAAGCUCUUUUGUGCGGGAAGAUAAUGACGGUACCCACAGAAGAAGCCCCGGCUAACUCCGUGCCAGCAGCCGCGGUAAGUCUCGCGUGA
RNAcentral lists this ribosomal RNA (462 nucleotides) under uncultured bacterium. RNAcentral's name for it is "bacterial SSU rRNA". It matches the Rfam family "Bacterial small subunit ribosomal RNA", at positions 29 to 532 of the family's 1533-position model. The record is from RNAcentral.